Molecule: unclassified non-coding RNA, 262 nt
Filed under: Hevea brasiliensis (rubber tree)
Lineage: Eukaryota; Viridiplantae; Streptophyta; Magnoliopsida; Malpighiales; Euphorbiaceae
Source: RNAcentral
GUGAGAGUAAAACAAAUAUUUUAGACAUUAUGAAGAUGAUACAUCGUAAAUCCUCUACAAGAACAAAGGAGAAAUGUAGGCACAUCAUAUAGAGAAAGGAAAUACAUUAGUAUUCAAUGUGAAGAAAAUUAUUUCUACAUGUGUUAUGUUUUGAAUCACAAAUCAAGCCUUAUUAGUUAAUGUAUUAUCUAUCUAUUUGCCUCAUUUCCAAACCCCAUGAUCACAUGGAGAGCAACCUUCUUGUGCAAUAUCAGUAAUUUGA